This is a non-coding RNA of Cyanistes caeruleus (blue tit), 476 nucleotides long. The record is from RefSeq and is a predicted model, not a curated record. Lineage: Eukaryota; Metazoa; Chordata; Aves; Passeriformes; Paridae.
GGGCCCUGACAGGCUCUGUGUUCUUAGGGUCGGUCGGGCUACUCCUGAGGGGGCCGCAGACGGAGCAGCAGCUCAUCUGUGAGGCCCUUCGAGCACUGAGGAAAGACGCCAGCCCAUCCUGCUCUAACCUGGAAAAUUAAGCCCAGUUUCCCCAAAAAGCUAAAGAAUUAGGGACAUGUCCUGGAUACAGUGAACCACUAUCCAAAGAACACACGAAAACAUACUGAAGAGGACACCACCUUCCAGAGCUGCUGGAGCAACAAGCACAGCUGAUGCAGUUCUCAUGGCUUCAGCCUUCUCCCUGCCUUUUGACAGCUCCCUCCCUGCAAACCUUAGACACUUCCCAUCCCCUUUUUUCCUUGUACUUUUCAUUCCUUUUGACUCCAUCCCUCAGAUGCUCCCCAUCCCCUUCUUUCCUUGAAGCUCAUCCCUUUGCUUCGCCUUGCAUUAAUAAACAGUUUGCCUUUUUCACUUAA